UCCGGUUACUAGUCCAACGCUCUAACCACUAGGCUACCCUGCCGCCCCAGCGAUCUGCAAUGGCCCUACUGUAGCAAUAGCACAAAAUAUUUUUUUGAAAACUCAAUUGUACCUUUUACCUGAGACAGAUAUCAUUUUAACAGUUCAACAUCUUACAUAACUAAAUAUUUUUCCAGUUAAGGAGGACAGCACUGCACUUUGCCUCCAUCGAGGGACACUCUACCGUCAUCCAGAAGCUUCUAGAGAAAGGAGCUAACAUCAAUUCUAAAGACCGGCUGGAGUCCAGAGCUGUUCACUGGGCCUGUAGAGGAGGAAGCCUGGCUGUGAUCGAGGUCCUCCAGAAACAUGGAGCAGACCUCAACAUCAGGGACAAGGUGAGGCGUGGGUGUGUGUGUUCCAGCUGGAGUCCAGAGCUGUUCACUGGGCCUGUAGAGGAGGAAGCCUGGCUGUGAUCGAGGUCCUCCAGAAACAUGGAGCAGACCUCAACAUCAGGGACAAGGUGAGACGUGGGUGUGUGUGUUCCAGCUGGAGUCCAGAGCUGUUCACUGGGCCUGUAGAGGAGGAAGCCUGGCUGUGAUCGAGGUCCUCCAGAAACAUGGAGCAGACCUCAACAUCAGGGACAAGGUGAGACGUGGGUGUGUGUGUUCCAGCUGGAGUCCAGAGCUGUUCACUGGGCCUGUAGAGGAGGAAGCCUGGCUGUGAUCGAGGUCCUCCAGAAACAUGGAGCAGACCUCAACAUCAGGGACAAGGUGAGACGUGGGUGUGUGUGUUCCAGCUGGAGUCCAGAGCUGUUCACUGGGCCUGUAGAGGAGGAAGCCUGGCUGUGAUCGAGGUCCUCCAGAAACAUGGAGCAGACCUCAACAUCAGGGACAAGGUGAGACGUGGGUGUGUGUGUUCCAGCUGGAGUCCAGAGCUGUUCACUGGGCCUGUAGAGGAGGAAGCCUGGCUGUGAUCGAGGUCCUCCAGAAACAUGGAGCAGACCUCAACAUCAGGGACAAGGUGAGACGUGGGUGUGUGUGUUCCAGCUGGAGUCCAGAGCUGUUCACUGGGCCUGUAGAGGAGGAAGCCUGGCUGUGAUCGAGGUCCUCCAGAAACAUGGAGCAGACCUCAACAUCAGGGACAAGCUGAUGGCCAGCCCUCUCCAUGUGGCCACCAGGACAGGCCAUUCUGAUGUAGUGGGACACCUGCUGAACAGUGGAGCCAAAAUCAACGCCAGAGACAGGGAGGGGGACACUCCUCUGCAUGAUGCUGUGCGUCUGGGCAGAUAUAAGAUACUCAAGCUGCUCAUUGUUGGAGGGGCUGAUACAAGGCUCAAAAACCAUGAGGGCUUUACAGCAGUGGAGCAGGUGAAAGAGUGGCAGUUUGACACCAAGGAGACUCUGGAGAAACUGGACCAGCUGAGGGAGGUGGGUCUGGUACCCCCACUGUUACCUAACUUACCAGACCACCAAAUCUGCCUUCAGCCCUAAACCUACACAUCCCACUGGUACAUACCUAACCAGACCACCAAAUCAGCCUUCAUCGCGAAACCUCUACAUCCCACUGCUACAUACCUAACCAGAGUCACCAAAUCAGCCUUCAGCCCUAAACCUCCACAUCCCAAUGGUACCUAACUUACCAGACCACCAAAUCAGCCUUCAGUCCUAAACCUCCACAUCCCACUGGUACAUACCUAACCAGACCACCAAAUCAGCCUUCAGUCCUAAACCUCCACAUCCCACUCUUACCUAACUUACCAGACCACCAAAUCAGCCUUCAGCCCUAAACCUCCACAUCCCACUGUUACCUAACUUACCAGACCACCAAAUCAGCCUUCAGCUCUAAACCUCCUAUCCCACUGGUACAUACCUAACCAGAUCACCAAAUCUGCCUUCAGCCCUAAACAUCCACAUCCCACUGGUACAUACCUAACCAGACCACCAAAUCAGCCUUCAGCCCUAAACCUCCACAUCCCACUGGUACAUACCUAACCAGAUCACCAAAUCAGCCUUCAGCCCUAAACCUCCACAUCCCACUGGUACAUACCUAACCAGACAACCAAAUCAGCCUUCAGCCCUAAACCUCCACAUCCCACUGGUACAUACCUAACCAGACCACCAAAUCAGCCCUAAACCUCCACAUCCCACUGGUACAUACCUAACCAGACCACCAAAUCAGCCUUCAGCCCUAAACCUCCACAUCCCACUGGUACAUACCUAACCAGACCACCAAAUCAGCCCUAAACCUCCACAUCCCACUGGUACAUACGUAACCAGAUCACCAAAUCAGCUUUCAGCCCUAAACCUCCACAUCCCACUGGUACAUACCUAACCAGACCACCAAAUCAGCCCUACACCUCCACAUCCCACUGGUACAUACCUAACCAGAUCACCAAAUCAGCCUUCAGCCCUAAACCUCCUAUCCCACAUCCCACUGGUACAUACCUAACCAGACCACCAAAUUAGCCCUAAACCGCCACAUCCCACUGGUACAUACCUAACCAGACCACCAAAUCAGCCCUAAACCCCCACAUCCCACUGGUACAUACCUAACCAGACCACCAAAUUAGCCCUAAACCGCCACAUCCCACUGGUACAUACCUAACCAGACCACCAAAUCAGCCCUAAACCCCCACAUCCCACUGGUACAUACCUAACCAGACCACCAAAUUAGCCCUAAACCGCCACAUCCCACUGGUACAUACCUAACCAGACCACCAAUCAGCCCUAAACCUCCUAUCCCACUGGUACAUACCUAACCAGACCACCAAAUCAGCCCUAAACCUCCACAUCCCACUGGUACAUACCUAACCAGACUACCAAAUCAGCCCUAAACCUCCUAUCCCACUGGUACAUACCUUACCAGACACCACCAUUUCAGCCCCUGACUGGGUGCAUAGGGCUUAACUUCAACUCCCAUCCUGGACAGGCACAGCGUGUGCAGGCUUUUGAGUCCUCUUAGAAAAAAUAGUGCUAUCUUGAACCUAAAAAGGUUAUUUGGCUGUCCCCAUAUCCUAUUUGGUUCCAGGUAGAACCCUUUCCACAGAGGGCUGUACAUGGAACCCAAAAGAUUUCAAUCUGGAACCAAAAACGGUUCUCCAAUGGGGACAUUUUGUAACCCUUUUUUCUACAAGUGUAAAUCAAAACUAGACGAUGAAGUGAGGUUUGUGCCCAGUGGGCUACUGCAUAUUUGAUCAAGUCAUUUCAAUGCAGACCUACAGUCAUGGCAAACUCUCAUCAUCUUGUUUUCUGGUUAUAUUUGAUGUAACAGGAUCGUACUGUUACAGUAGUGGCCUGAUAAUAUAUGCUCUACUCUCCUAGUGUGUGUCUGCAUGGCUCUCAGGAACAUAAACCAAGCACUUUUACUUGUUAUAAGCACGUUUACUGUAUUUGUUAUAUAUUUCCUGCAUACUCACACCCCUCAUGUACAUGGUAUUUGAUUCAUGUGUUAUCUGCAGUGUGUCCUUCUAGGACACAACAGGCUGAAGUUCAAAGAUUAGUUCUGUGUGCCGUUAUACCGGUGAGGUUGAGACUGCUGCUUUCAUGUCAUCUGCUUUUGCUGAAAAUACAUUUUUAGAAAAGUCCUUUCAGCUGAGCAGUGUGGUGCUGGUGACUGGACUUAUUAAAGCAACUCAUUGGCGAUUCUCUUCUGAAGAGCUUUAAAACCCCUGAAAAGCUGUGUUCUUGCAUUAGAAUCAUUAGACGUUGAAGUCUGUGCCUAGUGGGGACACUAUCUUGCCAUGUAGGCUUGUCACCAUAUAUUCAAUAUAAAUUGCAGAUAAUCCAUAUGAGAAUCCAAGAUUCCCAGUACAUUCACUGCUGGCGUUGCUCUCCAACAUUACACCAUCCAUGGUGAUAUUAAAUCAACAAAUGAUUUACUAAUGUAUGUCGAAGUGCAUUUUUGUUCUUGUUGUUAAAAGUCUUUAAGAGCAGUACUUUGUGAGCAGAUUUAAAAUACGACCAAUGCAGUAGGCCCAUGUGUUGAUUGCAUCACCAUAGCUUUAUAUCAGCAUUAGGUUCUGAUUUGAAACUGCAUUUGGUUUAUCCUCCACCAUUAUUACAGUAAUUAACAAAUGACUGUCCAUCAGCAGUUGUUCCACGUUUAAAGGUCACUGGAAAACUGUUCAUUUUACAGAGGCUAGAGUCACAGACAAUGUUUAGUUAAAACUGGCUCUAUUGUCUCUGUGGUGCCCCGGGGGUGGAUGGGAUGGUUGGGGUGGCUGUUUUUCCUUUGUUAAACACCUCGGAUUGGGUUAGAAAUGUGUGGACAUACUUCCGUGGGUCCAGUGGAAAUAUUUUCCUGUUGUCAUCAUAGGUACAGUCCUGCCUGAGGGGAAAUGAUCUCUGGCUCAGGGAUAAACCUGUCAGAAUGUAUUUUGGUUUGACUACACAUGUACACUGUAUCGCUGAAUAUAUCGCUGAAUAGUGGAAGGACUUAAAGCAGUAGUAACAAUAGUAUAAGCCCUGUGAAUGUGAGUUCACUGUACCUAUGCCAAGAGGUCUGGAUAACUGUGGGGUUGCUGGUUCAAGCCCCACUCCAUAGGUUCUCCAUAAAUCACUACAAUGGUAUUGAUUUGAGUGCAAUGUCUAAAAAGCACCUGAAAGAUAAAGCUAUUAAUAUUAGUAGCAAUCCUCACUUUACAGAACAUGUUCCUGCCUAGUUAAAUAAAGGUAAACAAAAAUAAAUAAAAAAUAUAUAAAACUGGUUCAACUUUGACUUCUGAGUCAUCGGGGGACAUUGUUGCCAUAGUGACAGUAUGUUGUGUAUUGUACAGAAAAGGUGCAUCCAAGCGUGUUGGUUUUGAACAGAGAAUGUAUGUGUAUGCCAAUGUUAUUUAUAUUAGCUUAGAAAACCUAUAAUCAACUGCAUAUUUCUGUAUAUAAUUUACCAUGUAGUGUCCUGCUGACAUCCACACAUAAAGCUCAUUCCAAAUCAAAUAAACAGCAGAUUUCAGUAGGAUAUCCAGUAAGCCUCCCUUUGUCGUAGUGGGAUCUCGAUGUUACCUCCUCUCCUUGGUAGAGCAACAUGCUCAAUGCCUGUGUAUUUGAGGGAGGAGAUAGGAUGGUUAGCUUCAACAAAGUGAGCUGCUACUGGAUAGUCAAUGUUCGUAUCGUAUACCUGAUUGAGUUGCGGUGUUCAGCUAUGUGUUGUUUUAAUUGUAUUUUCGUUUGUCCUACGUAGGCUUUUCCACAUGAACAGGUGAUGAGAUAGAUUACUCCCUUGGUCUUGCAUGAGAUGAUACCCCUAACAGGGAUUUUUCAACCUGUAUAGUUCUCAAUCAGUAAACAUCAACUUUACAAAACCCACACUAAAACUAUGACACUUGAUACUACAUAUCCACAGUUGUUUCCUGUCGCCUUCUCUUCUCACAUCUGCUCUGACAUGAAAGAACAGCAUUGGCACAGAUCAAAACUAUUUCCAAUUAGGUCUCCACCAUAUUUCUCUCUUCUACACUGUAUUUACAGUUAGUGAAAUUUGAGAGGAGAAGAGACCACUAUAGACUAUUGAGAUGCAGGAGAGGAGACCACUAUAGACUAUUGAGAUGCAGGAGAGGAGACCACUAUAGACUAUUGAGAUGCAGGAGAGGAGACCACUAUAGACUAUUGAGAUGUAGGAGAGGAAACCACUAUAGACUAUUGAGAUGCAGGAGAGGAGACCACUAUAGACUAUUGAGAUGCAGGAGAGGAGACCACUAUAGACUAUUGAGAUGUAGGAGAGGAAACCACUAUAGACUAUUGAGAUGCAGGAGAGGAGACCACUAUAGACUAUUGAAAUUCAGGAGAGGAGACCACUAUAGACUAUUGAGAUGCAGGAGAGGAGACCACUAUAGACUAUUGAGAUGCAGGAGAGGAGACCACUAUAGACUAUUGAGAUGCAGGGGAGGAGACCACUAUAGACUAUUGAAAUUCAGGAGAGGAGACCACUAUAGACUAUUGAGAUGCAGGAGAGGAGACCACUAUAGACUAUUGAGAUGCAGGAGAGGAGACCACUAUAGACUAUUGAGAUGCAGAAGAGGAGACCACUAUAGACUAUUGAAAUUCAGGAGAGGAGACCACUAUAGACUAUUGAGAUGCAGGAGAGGAGACCACUAUAGACUAUUGAGAUGCAGGAGAGGAGACCACUAUAGACUAUUGAGAUGCAGGAGAGGAGACCACUAUAGACUAUUGAGAUGCAGGACAGGAGACCACUAUAGACUAUUGAAAUGAAGGAGAGGAGACCACUAUAGACUAUUGAGAUGCAGGAGAGGAGACCACUAUAGACUAUUGAGAUGCAGGAGAGGAGACCACUAUAGACUAUUGAGAUGCAGGAGA
This is a non-coding RNA of Oncorhynchus mykiss (rainbow trout), 6290 nucleotides long. The record is from RefSeq and is a predicted model, not a curated record. NCBI's taxonomy places the organism in Eukaryota, Metazoa, Chordata, Actinopteri, Salmoniformes, Salmonidae.